UACGAAGGGGGCUAGCGUUGCUCGGAAUUACUGGGCGUAAAGGGAGCGUAGGCGGGUUAUCAAGUUGGGGGUGAAAGCCCGGGGCUCAACCUCGGAAUUGCCUUCAAAACUGGUAGCCUAGAGUAUGAUAGAGGUAUGUGGAACUCCGAGUGUAGAGGUGAAAUUCGUAGAUAUUCGGAGGAACACCAGAAGCGAAGGCGGCCAACUGGCCCGAUACUGACGCUGAGGCGCGAAAGCGUGGGGAGCAAACAGG
This 253-nucleotide ribosomal RNA is filed under the name uncultured bacterium. RNAcentral's name for it is "partial 16S ribosomal RNA". It matches the Rfam family "Bacterial small subunit ribosomal RNA", at positions 524 to 776 of the family's 1533-position model. The record is from RNAcentral.